GAUGAACGCUGGCGGCGUGCCUAAUACAUGCAAGUAGAACGCUGAAGGAAGGAGCUUGCUCUUUCCGGAUGAGUUGCGAACGGGUGAGUAACGCGUAGGUAACCUGCCUGGUAGCGGGGGAUAACUAUUGGAAACGAUAGCUAAUACCGCAUAACAGUAGAUGUUGCAUGACAUCUAUUUGAAAGGGGCAAUUGCUCCACUACCAGAUGGACCUGCGUUGUAUUAGCUAGUUGGUGAGGUAACGGCUCACCAAGGCGACGAUACAUAGCCGACCUGAGAGGGUGAUCGGCCACACUGGGACUGAGACACGGCCCAGACUCCUACGGGAGGCAGCAGUAGGGAAUCUUCGGCAAUGGACGGAAGUCUGACCGAGCAACGCCGCGUGAGUGAAGAAGGUUUUCGGAUCGUAAAGCUCUGUUGUAAGAGAAGAACGAGUGUGAGAGUGGAAAGUUCACAC
This 457-nucleotide ribosomal RNA is filed under the name Streptococcus australis. Its description in RNAcentral is "bacterial SSU rRNA". It matches the Rfam family "Bacterial small subunit ribosomal RNA", at positions 28 to 469 of the family's 1533-position model. The record is from RNAcentral. Lineage: Bacteria; Bacillati; Bacillota; Bacilli; Lactobacillales; Streptococcaceae.